UACGUAGGUGGCAAGCGUUGUCCGGAAUUACUGGGUGUAAAGGGGGCGUAGGCGGGUGUUUAAGUUGAAUGUUAAAACGAUCGGCUCAACCGGUCGAUGCGUUCAAAACUGAGCAUCUUGAGUGAAGUAGAGGCAGGCGGAAUUCCCGGUGUAGCGGUGGAAUGCGUAGAUAUCGGGAGGAACACCAGUGGCGAAGGCGGCCUGCUGGGCUUUAACUGACGCUGAGGCUCGAAAGCAUGGGGAGCAAACAGGAUUAGAUACCCUGGUAGUCCAUGCCGUAAACGAUGAUUACUAGGUGUGGGCGGGAAACCGUCCGUGCCGGAGUUAACACAAUAAGUAAUCCACCUGGGGAGUACGGCCGCAAGGUUGAA
This 371-nucleotide ribosomal RNA is filed under the name uncultured bacterium. RNAcentral describes it as "bacterial SSU rRNA". It matches the Rfam family "Bacterial small subunit ribosomal RNA", at positions 524 to 898 of the family's 1533-position model. The record is from RNAcentral.